GCCCGGGUGGUGAAAUCGGUAGACACAAGGGAUUUAAAAUCCCUCGACCACAAGUCGUGCCGGUUCGAGUCCGGCCCCGGGCACCA
This 86-nucleotide transfer RNA is filed under the name Rheinheimera sp. RNAcentral describes it as "tRNA-Leu". It matches the Rfam family "tRNA". Rfam says of the family: Transfer RNA (tRNA) molecules are approximately 80 nucleotides in length. RNAcentral also lists the same sequence under 1 other name. Lineage: Bacteria; Pseudomonadati; Pseudomonadota; Gammaproteobacteria; Chromatiales; Chromatiaceae. The record is from RNAcentral.